GAAAUUAAUGGUUGAUUAAUGAUGAUCAUUAUAUGAGUUGGUCACAUCUUAGUUUUGCCUUUUUCUAACCUGUUUGGAUGUUUUUUGAUAUGUGAUGAUGUGCUAACUUGUUAUUUUGCUUUUCAUUUUUGUCAUUUGUAGAUGACUGAUCCUAUGUGGGGGAGAAUGAAAAACCUAAGAAUGUUGCCUCGGAGAAAUUUUUGGUUUGGAGCAUGACUGACCAACGUACGAUUGG
This 235-nucleotide long non-coding RNA is filed under the name Capsicum annuum. Its description in RNAcentral is "long non-coding RNA (CANN_LNC021349)". Lineage: Eukaryota; Viridiplantae; Streptophyta; Magnoliopsida; Solanales; Solanaceae. The record is from RNAcentral.